GCCCGGAUGGUGAAAUAGGUAGACACGAGAGACUUAAAAUCUCUUGACCUUACGGUCGUGCCGGUUCGAUUCCGGCUCCGGGCACCA
RNAcentral lists this transfer RNA (87 nucleotides) under Oceanospirillaceae bacterium. RNAcentral's name for it is "tRNA-Leu". It matches the Rfam family "tRNA". Rfam says of the family: Transfer RNA (tRNA) molecules are approximately 80 nucleotides in length. Their secondary structure includes four short double-helical elements and three loops (D, anti-codon, and T loops). Further hydrogen bonds mediate the characteristic L-shaped molecular structure. tRNAs have two regions of fundamental functional importance: the anti-codon, which is responsible for specific mRNA codon recognition, and the 3' end, to which the tRNAs corresponding amino acid is attached (by aminoacyl-tRNA synthetases). tRNAs cope with the degeneracy of the genetic code in two manners: having more than one tRNA (with a specific anti-codon) for a particular amino acid; and 'wobble' base-pairing, i.e. permitting non-standard base-pairing at the 3rd anti-codon position. Lineage: Bacteria; Pseudomonadati; Pseudomonadota; Gammaproteobacteria; Oceanospirillales; Oceanospirillaceae. The record is from RNAcentral.